RNAcentral lists this ribosomal RNA (447 nucleotides) under uncultured bacterium. Its description in RNAcentral is "SSU rRNA". It matches the Rfam family "Bacterial small subunit ribosomal RNA", at positions 26 to 518 of the family's 1533-position model. The record is from RNAcentral.
AGAGCGAACGCUGGCGGCAGGCUUAACACAUGCAAGUCGAGCGGGCGUAGCAAUACGUCAGCGGCAGACGGGUGAGUAACGCGUGGGAACAUACCUUUUGGUUCGGAACAACACAGGGAAACUUGUGCUAAUACCGGAUAAGCCCUUACGGGGAAAGAUUUAUCGCCGAAAGAUUGGCCCGCGUCUGAUUAGCUAGUUGGUGAGGUAACGGCUCACCAAGGCGACGAUCAGUAGCUGGUCUGAGAGGAUGAUCAGCCACAUUGGGACUGAGACACGGCCCAAACUCCUACGGGAGGCAGCAGUGGGAAUAUUGGACAAUGGGCGCAAGCCUGAUCCAGCCAUGCCGCGUGAGUGAUGAAGGCCCUAGGGUUGUAAAGCUCUUUUGUGCGGGAAGAUAAUGACGGUACCGCAAGAAUAACGCCCGGCUAACUUCGCGCCAGCAGCCGC